Molecule: long non-coding RNA, 2180 nt
Organism: Mercurialis annua (annual mercury)
Lineage: Eukaryota; Viridiplantae; Streptophyta; Magnoliopsida; Malpighiales; Euphorbiaceae
Exons: 2
Source: RefSeq, a predicted model, not a curated record
UAAUUAUCUUCUCUUUAAAAUCUCCUAUAUCAAACCCUUAUUGUUUCAAUCUUUAUGUUCUGUUUGCGGAUUUUUAGGGUUUUGUCAUUAUUAUAAGUAUAAAUUUACAUGCAAAUCAUUUAUAUUAUGUUUAUGAUGAUGGGUGUUAAACUCUUUACCAUAUGUGGUGGCCUUAUUGCUUAAUAAAGCUUGUCUUUGUAAUUUGUCUGUGUUUAUCGUUUUAGUUUUAUAAAAGGUAAGGUAAGCAACUUUGGAACUUGAAGCUGAAAAAAUUGGAGUUUGACGCUAUAUAUGUUGAUUCUAAGUGCUGUGCAUUUACUGAUUUAUUAUUUCUGAUGUAAUGUGCUGUUUUUUGAAAUGAAUGUGCACAAAAUUCAUUUAUAUCAGGCACAUGCAAGUAUCGCAAUAGAUGUUUUGAAAUAUGUAUGUGUUUAUGCGUGUUUUUAGCUGUUCAUGGACAUAUGGCAAUAGUGAUAAAAGAGAGCAUGACGGAGCUGUGCAGUGCAGCAUAACAGGGAGGUACUCGAAUUCUGAUAGUUUUUAAGGUUAAAUGAAGUGAUGAACCAAAAAUGUAGCUCGGCUUGUUUGUUGUCAUUAGAUGGUGCAACAGGUGCUACAUUUUUGGUCAUAGGGUUUAGUUCAGUCUCGUUUAAAUGACUACUUUCUGGUGUCCUGGAGAAGGUUUUGCUUUCAAUAGGCCCUCAAAAUUUGUGAUGAAUUAUGCUGAUUGUGAACUCCUAUAUAGGAAAUCAUCAGUUAAGGUUUGUUUUCAAAGCCUAGAUUACCGACCGAGUUGUUGUUAAGGAAAGAUUCUGGGUUUGAACUUAUCCCUGAUUUCAGCUGUAGGUUUUAUAAGAGAUUCUUAUGUGAAUAUAGUCAGUCAGGCAACCGAUUUUUUCUUGUAUUUGAUAAACCCACCUCUUUUUAAUUAUAUGGGAAAUCGAUUGUCCACAAUGUGUGGGGAUGAUUGAGUUGUAUUGAUGCAGUUUUAUAUGAAAAUACGUAGAGAACUAGAUUUUAGGAAAAUAUAUAAACUUUUCUUGAAAAAACAAGAGUAUAAUGAUUAUGCUAGCAUCAUUUUCUGUUUGUAUUGCUGUAUUUGCAUUCUAUCUGCUAUUGCACCAUGCACAUUUCUCUAACUCCCUAUCUAUGUCUUUCCAAUUUUAUGCACAUUUGAUUGCUAGUAUAAACAAAACAUAAGUGCUACUUACGAUGGCAUUGUUAAGCAGGAUGCCACUUCCAUGAAAGCCUUACUUUACCAGCAUCAGUCAUCUUCAUUCUCCUUCCAGCAAAUUAGCAUGGUGAUGCAUCGUCUAAUUAUGUAUAGCCUUGCUCUGGUCCCCUUCAAUCCCUGUCAACAAGGAAGCUGGUCUUUUGUCAUCAGCUUCCCUGGUUUAACAUCCAGGUUUUCAGGGUAUUUGUCUCAUCUAUUACCCAUAUCAGUAAUACUCUUCCUGGUUUUGUUGCCUAAAAGACAAAUGAAUCACUUGGCCUUCUAGACAGAUUCAGUUAUUAUUGUCUGUUUGCAGUCUUUUUCAAUACCUUACCUCUAAAUUUUGUGAUGCUUCAAUUGAAGCAGUCAUUUGUGGUGAGUAUAGCCUAUAUGGCAAGAAUGAAGACCUGUCAUUGUGACAUUUUUCAAUGAUUUUAUUUAUUCAGGGGUACUAAUUUAAACGGUCAGCUUCAAUAACUUGUGAAAUGGCCGUACAUUGUACAACCUGGUUUUGAAGCAUGUCAUCAUUAUAAUUGUCUUUUCAAAGUUUAAGUUGGUGAUGAUUUCUAGACUUGAAUUCUGCUAAAGUUUGUUUCCUGGUGUUCUUUAGUAUAUAUGAGCUGUGUUUUACAAUUAUUACCUAGAUUUCCUUUAUUGUAAUUCGGUUACUGUAGUAAUGCAUAUAUUUUGCAGAAAGUUCAAAUAGGGGCUACAUGUCUGCCAAAUUUCAGGGAAGCAAGCUAGUUUAGCAUUUUCCUUUACAUAAAGACGUUAGUGGGCUGGACCUUUUUGGCACAGGCUAUUCAUUGGCACUUGGUUAGGGUUAGGUAGUGGUGUAAACGAGCCGAGCCGAGCUUGAUUUAUACCAAGCUCGAGAUCAAAUGACAUGUAUGCUAUCGGGUUUGAGCUCAAGCUUGAACCAAGCUUGCCUUGAGUUUAAUAAAGAAUUAAAACAAUUAUUAAAAAA